Stylophora pistillata is the source of this 1180-nucleotide long non-coding RNA. The record is from RefSeq and is a predicted model, not a curated record. NCBI's taxonomy places the organism in Eukaryota, Metazoa, Cnidaria, Anthozoa, Scleractinia, Pocilloporidae.
GAGGGCAAUCGCACACGCCUGUUUAACCCAUCUUAAAUUUUAUCAUUUUGUAGCUUAAUUUGUUAAUUCUGGCCAGAGUUAUUAAAGAAAUAUCCGCAAUACAGUCAGCUCCGGAAAAUCAUCAGAUAGGACUUUGUAUCAAGACAUGCGUUGUAAUGAUUCCCUUGCUGGGUAUUACGUGGUUGUUUGGUAUCCUUUCUGCAUUUCACAAAGCUUUCGCUUAUGUAUUUACUAUCUUCAGCUCGACUCAGGGAUUUCUUAUUUUUCUUUUGCAUUGUGUGCGAAACACUCAGAUUAGAGAGUGGUCGAAGAGAAAGUUUAACGCCAUAUUUCCAGCUGCAAGUUGUAUGAGAUCUGACAGUGAAUAGAGUGUCUCCAUCCAAUCACAUCUCAUUUAUCAAGACUCAAUGAUGAUCGAUAGAAGAAAUAGGUCGUAGAGAUUAACGAGUUCUGUGAAGUGAUCUGUCAGUCCUUUAGCUAUUGGGGUGUUGCUCUUUCAUAAGUAUAAUUUUGUGAAAUGCCUUCGUAGUUUCAUAACUCUUUCAUCUGAAUUGUACGUUAUAAGUGAGUAGGCAGUGAUCAUGGAACAAUAACUUAACAGGGGUUUCCUUAUUGCAAUUAAGUUAAAAGGGAUAGAAUGGUGACAUUGGAGAAUUCAAGUAGAACUUCGCCUUUAAAAAGCUAUCUCGGUUUAAAAAUUGUUAUCUUAAAUGUCGGGCUCCGCUAAUGCGCCUCAUGCACAGCAUAGUUGCUAGAAUGCCAGACUAAGAAAAUCAUAAUUGAAAAGAAAGCCGAACAAUCAUCAAUGCCUUCAAUGAAGUGCUUACAGUACUACAGUCUUCAAUCAAAAGGAAGCUGGUCAUUAUGCAAACCUGUACCUAUAGGAUAGCUAUGAUAUAUGUAUAACGGGUCAAACUCGUCUGACUUGUCUGAUUUUCCAGUGUAUUUAAGUUACGAUAGUAAUUAUAAAAUUCGAACAAAUGAACAAUUUACAUAUACAAGGACUCGUUUGUUUGUGAGCUUGGUUUUCUUAGUUUUUGAAUGACUUAUCAACGUCUCAUCAUUAAAUAAUAAUUUAAUAAUCUCGGAAGAUAAAACAGCGAAAACCGAAGGGGGCAGAUGUUUGCAAUCUCUUCUCAGGAAACUGUCUAUGACACUUAGCUGCCCUUCAGGCAUGAGG